Molecule: non-coding RNA, 9400 nt
Organism: Equus caballus (horse)
Lineage: Eukaryota; Metazoa; Chordata; Mammalia; Perissodactyla; Equidae
Source: RefSeq, a predicted model, not a curated record
AUAUAUCCAGGAGAAAUAAAAACCCUUGUUCACAAAAGCCUGUAUGUAAAUGGUUAUACCUGCUUUAGUCAUUAUUGUCAAAAACUGUAAACAAUUCAAAUGGCUUCAAAUGAGUGAGUGGACAAACCAGCUUUGGUGCAUCUAUACAAUGGCAUGCUCCUUACCAAUAAAAACUUAUGAACUGUUGAUACAUGUAACAACAUGGAUAAAUCUCAACGGCAUUAUGUAAGCAGAAGAAACCAGGCUCAAAAAUCAUAUACAGCAUGUGAUUCCAUUUAUAUGACAUUAUUGAAAGACUAAAAGUAUACAGAUAGAAACCACAACAGAUUAGUGGUUGCCAGGCCUGAAUCACCACAAAGUGGCAUCAGGAAACUUUUCAGUGAGCUGGAAACGCUCUCUAUCUUGUCAGUGAUAGUGAUUAUAAGGCUGUAUACACUUGUCAAAAUGCAUAGAGUUUUACACUAGAAAGGAUGAAUUCUACUCUCUGUAAAUUAUACCUUCAUACAAAUGGCCAACAGGUACAUGAAAAGAUGCUCAAACUCACUAAUCAUCAGGGAAACGCAAAUCAAACCCACAAUAAGAUCUCACCUCACACCUGGUAGGACGGCUAUUCUACAAAAGGACAAAUGUCAUUUUUUAAAAACAAUAUUUACCUUCAUUACACUUUCCUUUUAUCGAAUGCUAAAUAUUUUAAUAAUUAAAACCACUUAAGAACACACAAUUUUAUAUAUUAUCCAGGAAACAAAACCUACUACAUACUAAUUACAUACAUAAAUAUGCAGUAUCAAGAAAAGAUUUAUCAUUUUGAAAUUUUAUUCAGAUCAAUGAUUCUUUAUUCUACUCUGAGCCACUGCCGUUCCAAAGAAAAAGAUGCCCUAGAUUGUAUGCCCCAUCUUGUUUCCUAUUAUUCUUUCAUUUUAGUUAUCAGUUGUCAAAACAAUAGACUAAACCUAACACCUAAGAGUAUGCCAAAUCUUGUUAAAAAAUUCUCCAUAAUCUCAUCAAGACUUUAUACCCUCAGCUUGGCCUGGACACUCACAGUUUCAGCAAACAGGGAGUCAGUGCAAUAGUGCAUAAAAUAUUAGGGCUCUGAAAGCCUGUGCCUGCUUAGGGGAGUGUGUAAUUUAAUAAAGUGUUCAUCGAUGUCAGCAGGCUGGCUCAUCACAACUUGUGUUGAUGUCGAAGCCUGCAGCACAGAAACUCCUACUGCUGAUGAGAUGACUAAAGUAAGAUUACAUUUUCCCUUGGAGACAGACACAAAGGUGGGAGAGUUAUUCUCAAAGGCAUUGAGACUUACAAGUAUCUGAUGGAACAGAACCAAAAUAGGGAAGGGCAGACUUUAAGGCCAGCCAACUAAGGAAACAAACUCAACAGAGCUGCAUUAUUUAUAAGAACGAACGCUAUGAAAAAUACCACCAGGCUUCUAUGGUUCCCACUUUAUUCACACACAAAUUCCUAACAUAAAUUAUAAAUAAGGAAUAAUAUUUUUAUGACUUAUAUGCUAAGCUUUCUAACAAUCCUUUGUAAAUCCCAGAGAAACUCAAGAACUAUGAGUUAGAAUUCAUAUAUUGUAUUUUAUUCUUCACUGUUUAGGGAUGUCCUUAGUCAUACCUUUUAAAAUUAUAUCUGAAAAAGUCAAGUUAAUGAUUUCUCAAAAGAAGUUGAAUUAUGUAUCAUUCACAGAGCUACGAAAGAUUUUUCAUCUGAGGUCAUCCAAGUGAAAGUUUUGUUCAUAUUGAAGCAAAAGCAAAUAUUCUGUGAUGAUUUUCAUGAAAGUGUUUUAUUAAUACUUUAAAUAUCUUAUCUCUUAGUCUGACCUAAAUAUUAAAGAUAAUCUGGUGAUAAAAAUUAUUAACUCAGUAUUGUUGUAAAGGUAAUUUUAUCUUUUAAAGCAAGUCCUCUAUUUUUUUUUAUUUGAUAACAUCAACCCAGACAUUUUAGUUUCCUGACAAUAUUUUGAAUGUUCAGUGUGCUAUUGAAAGAUCCUUGAGAAGAAAUGUUAGUAUGAGGAGAAAGGACACUAAAUAUUGUAGGUGAGACAAUAUUUUGUAUUUUUUAAUAACAACGUAGACACAGUCUUACAAAACAAAAUAGAUUGCAAACAGAAUUAUCUCAUUUUAAACCAGUGGUAAUGAGAAAAGAUAUGGAGCAGUAAUGGGUUGUGUUAGCAAAGGGAGCCAUCUCUCUUGACUUUGCUUACUCUGUCAACACAAUAUGUGUUGCUCUUUAAUGGCUUGAUUUAUUAUGUUCUGAAUAUUUUAGCAAAAGAUUUCAAAAUAUAACAUCAUAGUGCAAACUGCAUUGUCACAAUAUUUCAGUGAAAAGAAACCAUCAAAAUUUUUAUCAUUCCAUCACUUAAUUAGUUGAUUCAAUGAACAACUAUUUAAGACUCAGUAUAAACCAGAUACUGUGAUACACAAUCAGGAUUUAAAGGUAUAACAACACUCCUUUUAAAAAGAUUAAAAUUCAACAGGGAGAAAUAGAGAUAUGAACAAUAUAAACUGAGUGAGAAGCAUUUUAAAGUUAUUAAAAUUUCUGCAUUUAAAAAAUUUCCCAUGACACACAUUGCUCCUUGCUAUACCUCAACUGAUUUAACACUAUUUUUUGGGCUGGAGGCUUUGGGUGUUAGGCUCCAAGGGAAUGGACAGAAUAAAGUUGUGGAUUAUUUAGCACUGUACUUCAAAUUGUAUUUUCUUCAAUAUUAUUUGUAGGAUUAAUGCCUUGAAAGUCAGUAAAUUUCGAAUCUAUAUAGCUUUCCUAAGAAUCUCAGUAUGGAGAGAAUUAAGGAUAGAAUGUAGAAUUCCCACCCCACUGGAAAGCCAGGAACAACUAUGAAUUCUGAAGAAGAGCUCUCAGGAAAAGAAAUCGAAUGGCAAGUGACCUAAGGGUCAGUCUCCUGGCUCCUGGCACUUUCUUCCUCUUCUAAGCCUCUAGUCAACAUCUCUGAGGCUUGGCUGAGGGAUGGAGAGGGAAAGCCAGAAGUACAGACCAGGUGGUAGAUAGAAAUGGCUGAUGAAUGCAUCUAGGAGGCCUUCUCAUUGUUGGAGCCACCAUCUGAAGAAGCGAGAAUUUACUUGUUUUCCAGACAAGCCACAAGCACAGAGCAGUGCUCAGCACAUUGUAGAACAAAUCGAAUGAAACAAAGAAUGAACGAAUAAUUUAGUCCUUUCUAAGACUGGGGAGCCUCUCUGAAACCUUCUGUAUCUAUCAUGGAUGGAGCUUCUUUUGGUGAAGAUAAUGCUGCAAAUAAUAUAAACAGACAUCUCUAACUUUCACUUGGUUUCCAGGAGGAAGAUAUAGGACUGGGAAAUAGAGCUCCUGGUCCAACGCAGCCUCACAUUGUUGAUUCACCACCAAUACCAAGCCAGCGGUUCCUGAAGAUGCAGGCAAGGCAGUCAGGCACGCUCCCAAUGGGGGCACUAGUCUUAUUUAACAGUCUCAAACAGCUGGAGAGCACACAGCUAACGACCACUUGAGCAUGAAAGUGUCUGAUGACUGCAUAUAAAAUAUGACACACGACGAGGAAAAUAGGUAAUAAAAAUAUACAACGGAACAAACGUGCAGUGACAGUCCAAAACGUGUAAAUUGCAUAACAAAUUUUAAAAGAGAAAUGUCAAUGUAAUGUGCAUUCUUAUAGCAGAGUAUUUCUUUCAAAUCCGAAAUCAUUUAAACAAUCAGAGAAAUUCUCUCUUUUCAAUCAACUCAAAGCUACGUGAAUGGAAAAUGAUGCAAAGUUAACAACAGAGAAGAAAACCCCAAACAGAGAGAUUUGCAGGUCUGGCAGGAGUUUUUCAACAGCGUUUAAGCAUUAUGUGAAGAAAAAUAUUUAUGAAAUAAAACAACCCUCUGGUCUGAGGAUCUCUUACCUUGAAGAAAAGGAAAGCUAUCAGAAACAAUGCAAGCAGAAGGCAAUGCUGAAUUCCAAAUGCAAUUGCAGGGUGAGCUGUACUUUUAAAUAACCGCAUACAUGUUUUUAGAGAUUUGUCUCAUGGCAUGUCUUUUUUUUUUUCUUCACGUAACUGUCAACUAUAUCAGCGAUGAAAAUGAAAAAUGUAUCACUCAAAACUAUUUUUUGCGUUUUCUGAAAUGUACCUUAUCUAGUGAGAAAUGAAAAUUCUCUCUCUCUUUUUUUCCCCAAGAAAUACAUUUCUGUAACAUUUCUUCACUAUCAAAGGAUAACAGCAGGUUGAAGGAAAAAACAGGACAUAGCCAGAUAUCCGCAAGGCAACCCUUUUUUGGACAACUCACUAGGUCCUUCAAGGUAUAGAAGAGGCCAAAACCUGGCCAUUGAGAAGCAGCAUCCUGUUGUGAUUUUUAGACCAAUAACACGGCCUUUUUUGCAUUGUUUCUUCCAUAGCACUUCUUUCCGUCAGUCAUAUUAAAUAUUUCUGCUAUUUAGAUUUUUAUAUUCUGAUCCCUACUCUUGAAUGUAAACUCUAUGAGGUCAUAGAUUUUAGUCUCUCUUACAUAAAUUUAUUUUUCCACUGCCUCAAUCAAUAUUUAAAUGAAUUAAAAAUUACCAAAUAUCACUGAAAACUGUUUAAGCCAAUUGUGGGUAAAGAACAUGAAGAAAGAGGAAAGAAACCAUAAUUCUCUCUGAGACAUUUAAAGAAAGCUAUAACAAGGUGACACAAGACUGGGGUAUGGUGGUCACGGAGGUAUGAGAGGGUUCCUAUGUCGUUAUAUGCAAUUGUGUGGCUAUUUCCAAAUUAAUCACCACACAAAGGUGAAGUUUAAGUCAUUUCAUUUUACUCCUUGUGUCAUUAACCAGAUCGAAAAGGUUUUUUUUUGUUUUCUUUUUUAAAAAUAGUAAUUUUGUAAUUUCAUUUCUGAUUCUAGAUUCAGAAAAGAACUUAGAAGUCAACUCUUUAAAUGCCCAAUAUUUGAUGAAAGCAAAAUAAACUCAAGAUUUUAAGGUAUUAAGGUAUUAUGGCAUGUGUUAAAGAUCCCUUGAUCGGUGAAAAGGGCAGGACUGGAACCCAUAUUCUGAAAUGCUCAUGCUUUCUAUUAUGAACUUCUAUGAACCACGUGCCUAAAUGUUCUCACACAAUGCUGACUGCAUCACUUCAAAGAAAUAUAAUAAAGCUAAAAAAUGCUCCCAGAAAGACAACUAAACUAUCAUUAAAAGAGUGGAGCAGCUUUGGAAAGGAAGACCUUAAAAAUUAUAAUCUUCAAUCUGGAAACUCUAACAUCUAUUAAAUCCUGAAGACAGUGGAUAGUGUGAAAGCCAAGCUAUCCACGAACUUCCAUUAUACCAGGUCUAAGGGCACCCUCUGGAGUUUAAGAGAUAAAUUUAGGACAAAUAACGGGAAGUGCAAUACUACUUUAUUUAUUAGGUAGAGUGCUCAGGGAAGUAACACAGGCUGAAAAUAUGAUAGCUUCAUAAAAGGUUUAGAUAUAAAAACAUACAAUAAAUCAAUUCUAGACUAUUAAAGGGAAGUGGCCCAAUAUACCAUUUAUACUGAUUUUAUCUUUGUCAAACUACAGGGCUCCCCUUUCUCUCCAGUUAUAUUUGAAGUGAUCAAGCUUGAAGAUUUUCACACUGAACUUAAAGAACCAAGUGUCUUAGUAAGAUGGGCUAAAUAGUAAACGAGUUGAGGUGGUACAGUACUCUGCUCACAAUAUGUACUCGGUAACUAACUGUCAUAUGAAUUAAUUUCUUGCAGCCAAGGUAAAAUUUCCAAGUGACCAUUAUGAAAAUGUGAUUAGACACAUAUAUUGAACUCUCUCUGAGGGUGCAUUCUCUCCAAGAGUUUGGAUUAAAUCUCUACAUUUAGCUACAAGGUCUUUCUGAUAUAUAUACUCACAAAUUCAUAAAUAUGAAAAGGUAUCAAAGAUUAUUUCUCUACCAGAUAUGCAUUCUAGAUUUUGGUAUGAGGAAGGCUUCAUUUCAAAGCAUCUUGGUGUGUUGGUGCUAGGGAUCUAUAAAGUUGUCUCACAGCAUGAGGUCCAUCACAUUUUAAAAUGUUAGCCUUAGCUGCAGAAUAAAAUACCAUCAUUACUUAUUAGUCACUGAGUGAUUAGGAUUUGCAACAUUUUUACUAAAUAUUGAGAGAGAUCAUUUCAGAUUUAUUGUGGGCUUUUAUGUUGAAUCGUGUUCUUUUAUCAUGAUCCUUGCUGUUACAUUGAUAUGAACGACUUGUAGAAUAAUGUUAGUGGAACAUGUAUAAACUAAGCAUAAGAGUUUAUAUAAAUUAUCUGUAAAGUGAUAAACAUUUGUGCUUAUAAUAUGGCACAAAAAGUAACAAUUGCAAGGAAAAAUCACAAAACUAAUAGCAUUCAAGCUAACAUUAAUUUUAUGCAUCAGUUUCUUUUGGUUCAUAAAAACGAAGUGGUUGAUGAGCAUGAAUAUGGCACUGAGAAUUGAAACGAAAAUUCUUUAGAGCUUAAUGCAAUACAGCAAAGUCCACUCUAGAUUCACUUUUCUCUAUAUGGCAAAACUUUCAAAUAAUUCAUAUAGUAAUUCUUCAUAACCUCACUUGAAGCUUGCUUGGCAAAAACCCCUAAGAUAUAUAAUAGUUCCACCUCUUUUCUUUUUUCAGAAACCUAAAGGAAGCAUGAUCAUAAUGAAAAAGUGGGUCUUGAAAUAACAUGAGAGUCAUUGUUACAAGAUAAUCAUUCACCUUAAAUAAAUGGUUAUAUUAAAAUAUAUUCAUAUUACCAUAUGAAAGCUCACAGUUUUCAAAACUCAUGUAACCUGAAUCAGGUUUGAGAAAUACUGGUUUAUGUAACAACCUCAACAUGGUUCUCUAAUAGUGAAUUUUUAAAGAAAUAUAAAAUCCCCUUUAUUGUUAGAGCCACACAGGGAAGAAAUGCUAUUGAGUGUUUUCCUGGUAAAACUACUCAGUUUACUAAAACUCAGUGAGUAAUAUGUUUGUGUGUACAUGGGUACAUGCACUUAACAUUUUUUUUUUGCUUUAUAUAAAGAGACAAUGACUGAGUCUACCUAUGUUAUAAAGAUGAGUUCAAGAAUUUGGAACCUUUGAUUUUUCAUACGCUCGAGGCUUCAUGAUGAAUGACAAGCUUUUUUUAAUUAGUUUUUUUGAAAAAUUAAUCCAUAUUCACGAUAACACUUUCUAACAAAAUUAUGUAUAUACUGUAGACACAUAAAUCUCUUACCCCUGUACCCAGAGGCAACCAUUAUAACUAUCUUCCUAUUCAUAUUAAAAAAUAUUCUAUGUACAUUAAAAAAUAUCAUUAUAUGACUUAUUUCCCAAUGAAAACAAACAAACAAAAAACCUAGUAUAUAAUGCUAAGAGAAUGACAUGAAGUCCACUGGGGAAUUUAUGACUACUUUUAGAGUUAGUUUUUUUAGUGACACUUUUCCUUUCUACAAUGCAAGACUUCUCUUCAUCACUCAUAAAUUUUGACAACUCAAUUUUAUGCAUUAAUAAAAUAAAAUAGUGCUUAAAGUAUGGCAUGUUUGGUACACUUUUAAAUGCUAAACUCCACUUAUUUUUAGGUCAAUUUUCUCUUAUUGAAAAAGAAACAAUAAACAUGUUAUUAAUAAAUAAAAAUUUUAUAAAAAGGAAAAUAGGAGUAGAAAAAAUAGAUGACACAUUUUCGCCUCUCAGGAAUACACACAUGACUUAUAUAAAUAUGGGGUGGAGGUUAAGAAUAGAGGGGCAGGGACCAUGUUAUAGAGUUUGCAUUCUGGCUCUCUCGCUUAUUAGCUCUGUGAUUUGUGAAAGUUACCUGACCUCUCUGUGCCUCAAUUCUCUCAUCUGUAAAAUGGAGACAACAAUGUUUCUUGUCAUCUUUAAGAUGAUUAAAGGAAAUAAGAGAUGUAAAUCACACUGUUCAGUGUCUAGCACUUAGAAAGUUCUCAAUAAAUGAUAGUUAUUAUGAUGGGUAUUACCAAUAUUUAAUCAUUUACUUUAAAACUUUUUAAUAACAGAACUACUAUCUUCUACAAAUAAUCAGUAUUAGUGAAAGAACAACGAUAGGUUUAAUUAUUAUAUUGAGUAUGCACUGUACACCACACAACACUAGCACAUUCUAUGUAUAAUCUCAGUUAACUAUAAAAAAUAAGUCCAUUUGUGAAGUUGAUAUUGCCUGGGUCUUCCUUUUACUGUGGGGAAAACUUUGACUACUCUUAUAGCAUGGUGAUAAUGCAGGGAUGGGAGUUUUAAGACAUAUGUUCUACUUCGUAUUUUUCCAAUAACUAGCCAUCAGAUUAAGAACAAGUUGUUUUCUCAGGGAAAAAAAAGCAAAACAAAACAGAGUUUGAAAUAAAUAACCCCUGGUCACACAAAUGAGCCUAAAUUGAAGUGGAAUUUAAACAAAACUAUCUGACACAUCAAAGAUGUGAAUUCCUUAGUGUGACCAUCCGUCAUUUUAAUAGCUCUGGAACACCAGUUCCCGUCAGCAAACAUAGACUAGAGAAAACUACGCUUCCACCAGUGGGAGAAAGUGGUAGACGACAAUCAAACCAUGAGGAACUCUAUACGGAGCGGAGGAAAAUCACAGACACCAAAUGUUAACUGAGAGUAUACAGUGUUUGAGAGCACAUACGAGCAAAUUGGUAGGGAUGAAGAAUGGGCAGAAUCAGACACAUAUUAUUUAGUAGCAAAAUUCCAUUGGCACUCCCAGUUUGGCUUACCUUAAAGAAACAAGAGUUUUGGGUUGAUUUUGAAGCAUUUAGGUUUAUAUUAACACUACUAUUUGAUGCAUAUAAAAUGCCAAGAAUAGUGGUUGAUUGUUUUUUUUUUUUAACUUUAUUCGUCCCAAUGAGUUCAGGGUAAAAUAACACCUUUUCUCAUGAACUUUUAAAAUAGUAUCUCUUUUAUGAACUUUUAAAUCAUGCCUGAACUCUUUAACCUAGUAUUCAAGUUUCCUCAUAAAUGUCGUUUUCUCGGCAUAAACCCAGCUUGAUUCCUUAGUGACCAACAGAACCCGGACAGUUCAAUCCUGUCGUUACUCAUAGUGAUACAAAUUCUGGAAUCCCCACCCCUUCCAUAUAUUCUAGAGACCCUCCAAGCAAAGGAUUUCAUCUCCCUCAUUACCUCAGCUUUCUGAUUUAUACUGAUGAUUCCUAGCAUUUACUGGUUUAGAGUUAUUUUAGUGCUUAAUUAUAUACCACCAGGGUACCACUUGUGCUAUUUUAUAUCUCAGUAACAUAUGUCUCUUACUUUUUCUAUUAUAUCCAUCUUAGUGUAUAACAUAAAGCUCUGUGCGAAAUAUGUGCUUAAGACAAUAAAUGGCUAUAAAGCAAGAGUCAACUAAAAAAGAAUCAAAUAACAAUUUGUAUAUUUCAAAAGAAGUAAUGUCUCCUUCAAUGUUCCUACUUUCAAGAAUAAACACUCGCUAUUUUCAAGGUAUUUAUGAAACUCUCUCGUUUUUUUUUUGAGGAAGAUUAGCCCUGAGCUAACUACUGCCAAUCCUCCUCUUUUUGCUGAAG